RNAcentral lists this ribosomal RNA (452 nucleotides) under Isorropodon bigoti. RNAcentral describes it as "partial 16S ribosomal RNA". It matches the Rfam family "Bacterial large subunit ribosomal RNA", at positions 1848 to 2606 of the family's 2925-position model. Lineage: Eukaryota; Metazoa; Mollusca; Bivalvia; Venerida; Vesicomyidae. The record is from RNAcentral.
UGAGGUUUGACCUGCCCAGUGGUUUAUCUAAACGGCUGCGGUGAAUAACUGUACAAAGGUAGCGAAAUCAGUUGUCCUUUAAAUGGGGGAAGGUAUGAAAGGUUUGACGAUAAAAAAGCUGUCUCUUUAAAAUAAUAUGAAGUUUCCUUUUAAGUGAAAAGGCUUAAAUUUUUAAAAAAGACGAGAAGACCCUAUUGAGCUUAAUUAUAUUUUUUUUAUAAAAGGAAUUGAAGUUUUAUUGGGGCAAUAGGAAGUUAUGAGAAACACUUUUUUAAAAUAAAGAUCCUCCACGGGAGAAGUAAGCAAAAGUUACCAUAGGGAUAACAGCGUUAUCUUUCUUAAGAGUUCUAAUUAAGGGAAAGGUUUGCGACCUCGAUGUUGGAUUAAGAUAUCUUUUUGGUGCAGCAGCUAAAAAAGUAAGACUGUUCGUCUUUUAAAAUUUUACGUGAUCU